GGGGAAUCUUGCGCAAUGGGCGAAAGCCUGACGCAGCGAUGCCGCGUGCGGGAUGAAGGCCUUCGGGUUGUAAACCGCUUUCAGCAGGGACGAAAUUGACGGUACCUGCAGAAGAAGCCCCGGCCAACUACGUGCCAGCAGCCGCGGUAAUACGUAGGGGGCGAGCGUUGUCCGGAUUUAUUGGGCGUAAAGAGCUCGUAGGCGGUUCGAUAAGUCGGAUGUGAAAUCUCCACGCUCAACGUGGAGAGGCCAUUCGAUACUGUCGUGACUCGAGUCCGGUAGGGGAGUGUGGAAUUCCCGGUGUAGCGGUGAAAUGCGCAGAGAUCGGGAGGAACACCCGUAGCGAAGGCGGCACUCUGGGCCGGUACUGACGCUGAGGAGCGAAAGCGUGGGGAGCAAAC
This 401-nucleotide ribosomal RNA is filed under the name uncultured bacterium. RNAcentral's name for it is "bacterial SSU rRNA". It matches the Rfam family "Bacterial small subunit ribosomal RNA", at positions 356 to 773 of the family's 1533-position model. The record is from RNAcentral.